Molecule: long non-coding RNA, 440 nt
Organism: Ictalurus punctatus (channel catfish)
Lineage: Eukaryota; Metazoa; Chordata; Actinopteri; Siluriformes; Ictaluridae
Source: Ensembl
AAACACUCGACUCUCUCUCUCUCUCUCUCUCUCUCUCUAACACACCCACACACACACGCACGCACACCCACACACCCACAUACACACACACUUCAGACACUGUCACCAGAGCUCAUAAAUGUAAAAUUUACACUAUCUACAGAACUGUCACCCCGGGAAAAACACACACAUGGCCCGGAAAAUGUGUCUUCUAGUUUAAACAAAACUCUCGAUUCUUUUAAGCAGCACUUUAAACAUUUUACAUCCUAAAGGGUUAGGUUUAGAAGGCAUGUAAUACGCGCGUUUCUUAUAAAACACCGUCUUUAAAACGUUUACCUCCUAAAGGGACCUAUUUAGAAGGUAUGUAAAAAGUUUUUUUUAAUUAUUUUUUCUUUUUUACAUUUCUUCGGGUAUAUCAAUGUUUUAGAGUAUUUAUUUCAGUAAAGUUUUAUUCAAAGUCA